RNAcentral lists this ribosomal RNA (467 nucleotides) under uncultured bacterium. Its description in RNAcentral is "partial 16S ribosomal RNA". It matches the Rfam family "Bacterial small subunit ribosomal RNA", at positions 29 to 507 of the family's 1533-position model. The record is from RNAcentral.
ACGCACGCUGGCGGCGUGCUUAACACAUGCAAGUCGAACGGAAAGGCCCUGCUUUUGUGGGGUGCUCGAGUGGCGAACGGGUGAGUAACACGUGAGUAACCUGCCCUUGACUUUGGGAUAACUUCAGGAAACUGGGGCUAAUACCGGAUAGGAGCUCCUGCUGCAUGGUGGGGGUUGGAAAGUUUCGGCGGUUGGGGAUGGACUCGCGGCUUAUCAGCUUGUUGGUGGGGUAGUGGCUUACCAAGGCUUUGACGGGUAGCCGGCCUGAGAGGGUGACCGGCCACAUUGGGACUGAGAUACGGCCCAGACUCCUACGGGAGGCAGCAGUGGGGAAUAUUGCACAAUGGGCGGAAGCCUGAUGCAGCAACGACGCGUGCGGGAUGACGGCCUUCGGGUUGUAAACCGAUUUCGCCUGUGACGAAGCGUGAGUGACGGUAAUGGGUAAAGAAGCACCGGCUAACUACGUG